CCGAGUGAGGGUGAACAGCCCGACCUCCCACCCUAUGUGAUUAUACCAUGUUGCCUCGGGGGUACGCCCGCGCCUCGCGGCGUCGGCGCCCCCGGUGGACCAUUUAACUCCGCGUCUCAUGCGUCGGUUUAAAUUGAUGAAUAUUAUCA
This 149-nucleotide unclassified non-coding RNA is filed under the name uncultured fungus. RNAcentral's name for it is "sequence contains ITS1, 5.8S rRNA gene". The record is from RNAcentral. Lineage: Eukaryota; Fungi.